AGAGAUUUGUUGGCGGGAAAACGAGACCCAAUAUAGGUGUUUGGCGCGAGAGAUUCUUUGCGGAGUCAAUUGAUCAGCUUCAGGAGAGAGAUCGUGUGUGGACUUCGUACCCCAGUUCCUUGCUUCCCAGAUCAAGUUUUCGAGCCUUGCCUAGCCUUGCAGUUUAACCACGGACCCUGCUCCACGCUUCAUGUUUUGCCUUGUUUCCAGUCACGGAUCUAGCCAAGAAUCAAGUUUAUUUCCAGCCUUGCUGUCAAGCUUCAUUGGACUUCCAAGACUGACAUUUCCCCACACUAUUGCUUGGCAAGAGUGUGUGUUUCGGUCAAGUGGAUUAAAACUUUGAACUCUAAUAUCAUUUAUUGGACAAUACAUUUUUGGACUAUAUUUGACCUCUUUUGAAAGGUCUGCUUCUGAACUAUAUUCUUCACUUGUUUUUAUUGCUUUUAUAUAUUUCUUUAAUAAAGAUAUUAGAUAGAGAUUGGCCUCCGUGUAUGGUUUUUGGUGCCCAGCAGCCAGGGUUCUGACACUAUUGUUGAAUGGGCAGAUAAAUCGAUCCUACAACGAUUAAUCAUCGAAGGCAUUUUGGAAGAGCCAGGUUUUUAGGCUCUUCCGGAAGGAGAGGAGGGUAGGGGCCUGCCUGAUCUCCCUGGGGAGCGAGUUCCAAAGCCGGGGGGCCACGACGGAGAAGGCCCUCUCUCUCGUCCCCACCAACCGCAACUGCGAGGGUGGUGGAAGCGAGAGGAGGGCCUCCCCGACGAGCGAAGAGCCUUAUUAUUAUUAUUAUUAUUAUUAUUAUUAUUAUUAUUAUUAUUAUUUGCUCUAUUUCUACCCCACCUUUCUGUACCCUGAAGGGGACUCAAGGCGACUUACAUGGAGGCAAUCGUUCAAUGCCUUAAAAACAUAUUUAUUUUAUUUUUUUAUUUAUUACAAGCAUUUAUAUGCUGCCCUUCUCACCCCCUGCCCUUCUCAUUCAGGGCGGCCUUACAAUUUAACAUCAUUAGACGCUGAAAAACCAAUAUAAAAUGUAAUAUAUAAAAACAAUUGCAGCUAAAAUAGAUAGCAUUAGUUAAAACAUCCAUAUAAAUAUACAUUCAAGGGCACAUUCCAAUUCAUGAUAUAAUACAGACAUUAAAAAUAAAUUAGAUUAAAAACAGCUAUAUUAAACAUUUAAACUGUUACAUUAAAAUCACACCAUCCAUAAUUAUAAUUCAUGCCUUUCCAUAGUCAAUUCCGUAUUUCCAGAUCUGUUAUUGCACUGCCCUAUUCACUAAAAGCCUGAUCCCAUAGCCAGGUUUUAAUCUUUCUUCCAAAGGCUAGGAGAGAGGGGGCUAAUCUAAUGUCACUGGGGAGGGAGUUUCACAGGCGAGGGCCACCACUGAGAUGGCCCUGUUUCUCGUCCCCACCAAUACUUCCCAUCUAUUUAUCAAACAUCACAAGAAUAUUUUGAAAAUGUUACUGGAAAAAUUUCUAUGAUUUCGACAGCAGUUUUCUUGUGUUAGCAACUUGCAAAUGCAUAUUGUUUUAAAUGUCUUCCCUUUUUUAUUUGCACAGGUAGACAGUAGACUCUGUUUUUUAAAAGUUGGCAUCAUAUUCUGCCCAUGCUCUCUCCAUAAUUCCUCUGAUCAGAGACUGUAUAGAUUUCGACACAUGGGAAUAGUUUGGAGAUGUGUAUUCUGUUUCAGAGGAAACUGUUAAUCUUAGCAAGCAAUUUUCUGUUGUCAGGAAGUGGAAAUUUAGAAAAGGUGGUUUCUCAUCUGUUAACAAACAAUACCUCAAAAUUUAGCUAAUGGCCCCCUUCAGUGCAGAGAAUAGAUGGCAACAAUUGUAGUUUUAGACAAAACCAAGGACUAUGUGUUUGGCUGCUAGGUGUUAAUGCAAAUUCAUUCUUCUGCUCAUUCAGCCCUAGGGCUUCUAUCCUUUGAUUUAAUUAAAUGUAAUUGGUUACAUUGCUCUCUUCAGGCCCCUGAGGUGUUUUUGUUUAUUGCUUACCCUUCCCAAUAAUGCUUCAAUUCAAGGCACAAAUCACUGGAUAAAUAAGAGCUUUUUAUCCUAUACUGGAUUUGCAGGGAGAUUAUUUCUCUCAAAUAGUUUUAGUUUACUGUUAAAAGGAAAUGACAAGUGAAAUAAACUCAUUGGGUGGCAAAUGUAGUAUAUCUAGAAGCAAGGAGUUAAGUAGGAUAAAUUACAUGAGAUUAGGAAAAGGAAUGGAAGUUGCAUUGCUAAAUUGGGAGAGCUUGCAAACAGACUAGUGAGAGCUAUUGACACCUAAAUGAGCACAGUGGUAACUGACUGAUCUAGAUUUUAAAAUCAAGUUAUGAAAUUUCUUGGAAAAUAAAUUCUUUUAAUCAUGGAUCUUUUUGUGUAUACAUUUAACAAGUGCCUAUGUUAACAAUAGGCGAUGAAAUCAUAUUAAUACCCAAAGAUAUUAAUAUCAACAUGAAAAGGAUAAUUAGCUUCUCUUUUUCAUAAAAGACAUAAUACUAGGAUCUGUUUGAUUUAUAUGCUUCAGAUAUCAAAUAUGAAACUAGCUAAUACAAGAUAUUAUCUCUUAGUGAAGGCCAUUGUUUCUCCACUACAUCACGUGGAAACAUUUAUAGUUGUAUUUUGACAAUCUCUGCUAUCAAUCUUGUGAUAACUCUUUAAAAGUGUGGAAAGGAAUUGUGCUGUGAUUCAGUCAGUCUAUUCAUCUUGACACUUCAAUUCAGCUUUUAGUACCAAAUCAUCUUGACGAUGUCUUCUGUGCUUUGCAUAUUAAUCUAGUUAAAUGUCCACUUAAAAGUCUUAUGAAUUGCAUGGAAGACUUCCAUAUCUCCUGUUGUGUUUCGUUCUGAUAAUUAUUUAGUUCUGACUUGCUUUCACAAUUAAUUUAUUAACAAAUUGUGUCAUACUGCUUUGUCCAACUGACUCUCCAUAUCCAUAAAUUCUGCAUCCAUGGAUUCAACCACCUAUGACUUAAAAAUAUCUCCCUCCCUCAAAAAUAAAGAAGUUGAAAAGUGAACCUUGAUAUUGCCAUUUUAUUUCAGGGAUGCCAUUGUACUAGACCAUUAUAUAUUCACAGAGGGCUCUAGAACCAAAUCCCAGAAAAUACAAAGCCCCCCUACUAAUGUAUGUCAACGAAGACUUGGAUUUAUUAUGUUAGAAGAAAAUUACAUGCCAUGAUAAAAGCUCCCAAUUUUUUUAUGUUCUUACUAAAACCAUUGUCUCAUAUGGAGAGCAUGGCCAUUACUACAGCCAGAAGGCUGAACUACAGCCUUCUCCCUCUCAAGUUUGUAUUUUGUUAUUAUUUCCAUUAAUUUAUAUAGAAACAUCAGUGUACCUGCCAUUGUACAUGGCCUAAAAAAGGGUUUCCUAAACUUCUCUACUCGGGACCCCUUUUGACCUUUUUUACAUGACCCUGGGUAUAGGUAUAUAAAACAGAUAUAAAAAUCAACCAAUUUACUGAUAACAAAUCAGCAUUUGCAAAGUCUGAUUUUUUUUUUCUUGAAGUACAGAAGCAACAUCUUCUGCAGAAUCCACUGUAAACACUGCACAACAGGUUCGUGUAAAUGUCUAAAACAGCCACUAAAUGAUGUUCUGAAAGAAAUUUUGAGACCCCAACAUUGAACUAAGGAGCCCAUAGUUUAAGAAGCAGUGACUUAGAAUAGGUAAUUAACAAUUCCCUGUUGUUAUGCUUACAAUCUAAAAAAACAUGAAAUAUGAGGAGAGAGGGUGGCUGGAAGGGGAUUACAUCCAGCAAACAUUGGCUGCUCUUCUCUGCCCUUGAGGUCACAGCAAUGGCAGUUGAGAUGGAAGGAGCCUAGGCAUGAUGGAAAUUUCAAAGGAGACUAAACUGUCUCCUACCUUCCCAUAGAAAGAGUACAGAAAUGAUUAUUUUAGUAUAGCAGUACCCAAUUUAGCAGUUCCUUUAUUUUCAACAUUUACUUUAAUUCAAUCUUUAGAUUUAGUUAGGUAUGCAGUACGUAUAUUUUCAAAAUAUCACUUCCUUUACAAUAUCUUUUAUUUUGAUUUAUUAUUUAUUGUGUCUUAAUUAUGAAUCAUCAUUUGGGUUUUUUGAAGAGCUACAUAUGUUCUAAAAAUAAAAGCUGUUGUUGAACACUUGUCCAUUAUAUUGCAUUUCAUUGCUAUUUGCCAACAUGCUUUCAAGUCAACAGAUAAUUUUUAAUCUGGGUUUUGUUAAACCACUACUAUUUUUUUGGUCCCUAGCAACCAUUUGGCAUGCAAAUUAGGUAUUCUCAGGCUUAAUGUUCUUUAUUUGUAUAAAACAAAUACAUCAUUAAUCUGAUUAUGUUCUUGGAUGGGAAUGUUGUCCUCUGAUCAUUGUGGAUCAUUUUAUUAUUAGGCAUACAUCCAAAAUAAGAUUGAAACAUGGCACUUACUGUCUGGGAAAUUAAUAUUGAAGCAUUGUUUAAAGAUAAAAGCAUUUUGGAAGAAAAGGAUAAUGCUUAUCCAACUACAGUCAUUGCUUAAUACUUAGGAACAUUUCUUAUCCAUAGCUACAAUGUGGCAUGUCGCACCAAAUACAACUAAAUUUUGGGACCAAUGAUUUUGAAAUAAUUUUGUGUUUGCCAAUUACUUGGGCCAUAUUUCUGAAAUAUGCCAUACUUUGUCUUGAAUUCAUUGUCUGAGGGUGAAGCAAACCCACCUUAUCAGAAACAUGGUAGACAGCCCAGUCCUUCUCCAGUUCAGCCUGAGUUUCAACCAUGUUGAAGCAGCAGCAGCAGAAGACGGAAGUAAGAUGGUCUUUCCUAUAUGCACGACAACUAUUAUGAAUAUGGAUGGAGUGCCAAACAUGGCUAGUGGGUGUAGUCUUUCAGUAAAAGUAGGGGGAAGAUGACCUAGGGAUACACCUGAGUCCCUACUGAAUAAUUUUGCCUAAUAGCUAGCUGCCUUAGCUAGUUGUACAAUUUGCAACAAUGGCAUGAUAUGCCAUGGUGUUCUAAAGAGCAGCAGGUAGACACUGGCUAUGAUCCCAUAGCCAAACAACUUGAUUCCAAACAACAGACCUUCUAUCAGCAUUUUGUUUACUGUGAUAUGUCUGAUGGAAAUCUUGGAUUUUCCCCUCUCUCAUAAUUUAAAGACAUAAAACUGUGGUUUGUUUAGCUACUCCUACUGAAGAACUCUCCCACUGAAGAAUUGUGGGGAAUCCUGCAUCAUUGUGUCAUGGGAUCAUAGUCAUUGUCUUGGCAGUUGAAUUACUAUAGAGAAGGCAGGGUAUAUUUGAUAACAUUUGACCUCCUAGGUCCCUCCAGUUUCAAUCAAGACCCCAGUCUUCUAAAGAGUAAGUAAGAGGAAGCAACACAGAAGAUAAAAAGACUGGCCUCCCUUCCCCUGUUCUAAUUUGUCUGCUUACUUCUUAACCAGAAACCUACUCUUUAUUUUGUCUAACCAUAUUAAAGUUAACAUUUCACUGAUUUAUAAAUGUAUGUAGAUAUGCAAUUACAAAAUGCUGUACUAUUAAUUUGAAAUAAAUCUCACUAUACAUAUAGGAAUUAAUUGUGCUUGACAAAAUGUAAUGGCUGUGAAUGCUUUAAAAUUCCUUUUCUUUUAUAUAUUUAUGAAAUUAUAAAAUGCUUUGCACCAGUUUCAACUAUGCCUAAAGUAGCAAUUUCAUUAACAAGAGAGCUUUUAUAAAAUGUACCUGUCUUGUAAGUAUUGUCAUUGAAAUAGCUCAGUUUUGUUAGAAUGAUUUUUCAUUCUGUUAAUCUUUUAAGAACAGGUUAAGGUGACAUUUGAUAUUUUAAUUUGUUGGGGUGUUGUGGUAAUGAGUGUAGUUUUAAAAUCUAGGGCUAGGGCUUAUAUUUAUAAUAUUUUAAGCACUAUUAUGAUAUUAAAUACUUUACAGCAAGGUAGGUGCAGUGCCACAGAUAAUGAAAUGUCACAAUGUCACCCUAGAUUAGGGUUUUAUUUGGUUCAGUUGUUUUUAAUGCUGCUAAAUACUUCAAUUUUAACUGCAGCAUAUAGUACUGAUAGAGUUCUCUAAUCUUUAUUAUAUGAGACUUAACUAAAGAGAUUAUAUUUUAAAUGUAAUGGUUGGCAUCUACUAAAUGUGAUUCGUUUGAUUAAAAAUAGGAAACAAAGCAAAUAUAUUGUCUGAUAUAUUGAGAGAACUACACUGCAUUUAUUUAUCAGCUCUAAAUACUUCAUAAACUGAAACUGUCCAUAUGUGUGGCUAAGAUAGUGAUACCUUGAUUUCUCAUUGUUUUGUGCAUAAAGCUGUUUAAAAUAUUUUGUCUAAAAUUACUUUCAGGCUAUGUGCAUGAGGUUUAUAUGAAAUAUAAAAUAAUUUUUUGUUUAGAUUUGGGUUCCAUUUUCAAGAUACCUCUUUACCUAUGUACAAAUAUUCUAAAAUCUGAAAAAAAACAAAACAAAAUCUAAAACACUUCUGGUCUCAAGCAUUUUGGAAAAGGAACACUCAAACCUGUAUAUUGUUUCAACACUUUCCAUUUUCAUUCAUUCAUUUUAUUUUGCCUUGUAUUAUGUUUCCUCCCCCAAGAGAUAAGUUCUUUUUGUUUUCAUAUGUAUUCUAAUUUCAAUUUUCCCAAUCCCCAAACAAGUUAUAUAUUUGCUUAUUAGCUGUGUUUAACUGAAAAUAAAUAAAUAAUCGAAUUGUGAUAAUAGAACUAUUUUUCCUCACAUAUAAGUUUCAAAUUGCAAAAAAAUCUAGAUCAAUUCUAGAAUAGAUCAGGAUUCUUACAACUGUAUUGAAUUAAUAUUUAGGUUCAGCUUCAAAAUACUAAUAGCAAGAGAAAUUGUUUGCUAAAUGCUGGGAGCAUAGUAAGUGCAAAUGAAAGUAUUGCCCAUGUCUUGGACCAAUGGCCAAUUAGAACAUUUAAUGAAGUCAUAGGAAAUAUAUGUACUCUCCACAUGUGAAUAUUUCAUUCCAUCAUUGGGGUCGUUAUUUUGUUGUUUCCAUUGUAUUCCUUCAAGUUAUUUCCUAUUCAUAGUGACCUUAAGGUAGAUGUAUUUUUUUUCUUUUUUUGGCAAGCUUUGUUUAGAGUGGGUUUGCCAUUGCCGCCUUCUCAGGCUGAGAGAGUAUGAUAUCUCCUCAUGGCCAAGUGGAGAUUCAAACAUUUCAUUGUAAUUAUUUGGCAUCUCCCCAUUCUAUACUUUCAUAAUAAUGUUGGUUUGGUUUAUAGAGCUUAUAGAUGGAUGACAAUGUAUUUUCUUUCCCAUGGCCUCUUUUUUCCUGCUGGAUAUAUUGGUAUUUCAUAGAGAAGCCAGGGCAGAGAUCAUUCUAUAACAUGAUGAAGUUUCUUGUAUUUCUGUCCCACUGGGAAUCCGCUGUUCAGUCAGUUCAAGUGGAGUCAUGUGGACUGUCACUUGAAGAAGAACAGAAUGUUGUCCACCUUACAGCAAUUUACCUCCUUGGAGGAGCAUUAUCCACAUGACUCCAACAAUCCACUUUUUUCCUGUUGUAAAGACUCUUCUUUCUCAACAGUAAUAGGAGAACAGGAGGUAAAUCAAAUCCUGCGGUGCCUUCCAUGCCUUUUGUAGCAUGAUGCAUGUAGAACAGAUGCUGCUGUUUAAACAUUUCUAUCCACAAUAUAUGGUGCUUGUCCAUACAUAGGUUGUAUUUAAAUUUGGUGGGGGAAAUCUAGUUUUAGCUUUGUCUUAUUUAGAAAAUUUGUUAGGUAUUAAACUAAUAAAACAACAUAAACAAUGCAACAAUAUAAUAUAUUAAAAUACAAUAAUAAAAGAAAGGCAUGUCAAAAUGUUAUAUUUGUGUGGUAAUGUUUUGUGUAAUACAAUUAAUUGCUCAAAGCAUGUAAUAUAGAAUCUUGACAGUAUACACAAUAACCAAAUAAUAUAAGAUAGAAUCAAUUUUACUUGACUUGUUCUAGUUCUUCUUUAUCUCUGGAUUCUAGACUCACGUUUCAAAUUAAAAACAGAAAAAGAUCAAAUAUGUGCUUGCAUAUACUCAGUCUUUGUUGUCUUGUGCUUAAUGAGUUCAUGUCAAAAAAGUCUCAUAAAGGAGUGGAGGCUUAGACAUGACUCCUACUGGUUAGUCCCAACAAAAGUGGAACUUUGGAAUCCAUUGCUGGAAGGUAAGUGGUAGAUGGUGAGUCAUCACAUUGGUAAAAACUCUUGAUUUGAUGGCUUUAAUCUGGUUGGGACAAAAAAAAGAUGUAAAUCUUAGUUUUCAAAAAGUGCUGAACUCCUCCACCUUCUGACAUUCUGUUUGAGUUUGUUGAGAGAGCAAAAUAAAGAGCACCAGACUAGUUAAUUUGGGAACUUUAAGUAAGUAGCAUACAAGAAUCACUUUUUAAAAAAGGCAAUGCCAUCAUUGACGGUGCCCUGUUUCUAUACAAAUACAGUGUUCCCUCGCUACUUCGCGGUUCACUUUUCUCUCCCUCACUGUUUCAUGGGUUUUUUUGUGGUCCAAGGCAUUCUCAGAAUGCCUUGGCCCUUAAUGCUAUCCAAUCAAAAGUGGUAUCUAUCUAUCAAACUAACCAAUUAAAUAACACAAAGCAACUCAUGGCGGACUAGGCCGCGGUGGCGCCUGUCUUUCUCACAUGCGCUCUCGCCUCGCCCACUCUUCCAGGAAGGCUUCACUGGCCUGGGAGUUGCAGGUUUACAGCCUUCUCUGCCAAAUUGCUGUCCCCCUCACCAAACUGAAACAACUACAGUGCAUAACAGGCUUGCGAAGGAGAGAAAGGCCACCUAACUACUAAAAUAAGGUAUAAAUAUUAAUAUAAAUAUACUGUCCCUACUUUGCGGAUUUUCACUUAUUGCGGGUGGUCCUGGAAUAUAACCCCCACGAUAAGUGAGGGAACGCUGUAAUUGGGUCUGAAAUUAUUUCAAGGGCCUGAAAUAAUUUCAAGGGACUGAAAUAAUUUCAAGGGAAUUUUAUUCUGUCUAACUAGAUGCCCAAACAGAAAUGUCUGGUAUUCAUUUGCAGUCCUUUGAUUUUACCUGCCAUGCAUUGAAAGAUCAUUACUAAAAAGGGGGCAUGCACAGCUUAAUCCAACAUCGUAUCCAUCAGUAGCAAAAAGUAAUGUUCUAUGAAAAAAUGAUUUGAAUAUUUGAUUGUAGUUAGGAAUAAAAAUCACUUAAUGAAAAUAAAUGUAUCUCAGUGCUCAACUGUGGAAAUUUGUAAUUAAAAUAUUGUUUGUGCUGUCAUGUUAUCAGUUUCAACUUGUAGUGAUCUUGUGAUUGAGAAAUCUCCAUGAAUCUGGGUCAUCAGUUGUUGUUGUCAUUCCAGAUUACAGUGGGCCGUAAGGGGUUUUCUUUGAAAGAUUUGUUCCAAGGACAUUUGCAUUUGCCUUCUGCUAAGGUUGAGAGAGCUUGACUUGUUCUAGAUCAGGGGUCCCCAAACCUUUUAAACAGGGGGCCGGUUCAUGAUCCUUCGGACCGUUGGAGGGCCGGACUAUAGUUGCCCACCGAGCAAUAAUAAUAAUUAAUAAUAAUAAUAACAACAAAAACAAUAAUAAUAAUAAAGAGUGUUGGAAGAGACCCUUUGGGCCAUUGAGUCCAAUCCCCUUCUGCCUUUGUGCACUGAAAGCACAAGCAAAGCACCCCUGACAGAUGGCCACCCAGCCUCAAUGUUUAUUAUUAUUAAUAAUAAUAAUGAUAAUGAUAAUAAAGAGGGUUGGAAGAGACCCCUUGGGCCAUUAAGUCCAACCCCCUUGUGCCUUUGUGCACCAAAAGCACAAGCGAAGCACCCCUGACAGAUGGCCACCCAGCCUCAAUGUUAAUAAUAAUAAUAAUAAUAAUAAUAAUAAUAAUAAUAAUAAUAAUGAGGGUUGGAAGAGACCCUUUGGGCCAUUGAGUCCAAUCCCCUUCUGCCUUUGUGCACCAAAAGCACUAGCAAAGCACCCCUGACAGAUGGCCACCCAGCCUCAAUGUUAAUAAGAAUAAUAAUAAUGUGAUUUUGUGAUAUGAAAUCCAGCAUAUCUAUCUUGUUUGCUGUGUCAUACAAAAUAAUAAUAAUAAUAAUAAUAAUAAUAAUAAUAAUAAUAAUAAUAAUAAUAAGGGUUGUAAGAGAAGAAGAGACCCCUUGGGUCAUUUAAUCCAACCCCCUUCUGCCCUUGUGGUGGGGGCCGGAUAAAUAGCUUUGAUGGGCCGCAUCCGGCCCCCGGGCCUUAGUUUGGGGACCCCUGCUCUAGAUCAUCCAGUGGGUUUCCAUGACCGAGUUGGGAUUUGAACACUAGUCUUCAUCAGUAGCCUUCAGAUUUGUAAAUUUAAGUUCAUGGCUUCUUUAAUUGAGUCAAUUCUUUUGAUUUUCCCUUCAUCUUUUCCGAGCAUUGUCUUCUUUUCCAGUGAGUCAUUUUGUCACCUUUUGUCCAAAGCCCAAUAGUUUAGUCAUUCUAGCUUUUAUUAAGUGUUCAUGUUUAAUUUGCGCUUAUAUCCAGUUAUUUCUAUUUUCAGCAGUUCGUGGUCUCUAGAAUUUUCUUUCAGUACUACUUUCAGGUGAAUUGGUUUUCUCCCUGUCCAACUUUCACAUCCAUACAUAGAAAAUAUUAAUGACCUAUAAAGCCUCCUAUAGAAACUUGCCAGAACCAUUAAAGCUACAGAGAAAUGUUUUCUCUCAAGCUCACCACCAACACAGGUUUGCUUGGUGGAGACAUAAGAAAGAACCUUCUCAGCGGCUGCUCUAACCUUUUUUGGUGCAAAGUAUAGGCUGGCACCUUCUUUAUUUUCCUUUCAUUGGCUGGCAAAGAUUUUGGUUAAAACUAGCUUUUAAUAGGUAGUUGUUUGCAGGAAGGCUUCUCUAUGGUAGGCAAGGGUGCACCAUGUUAUAUCUUUGUGUUCUAUUUUAAUGAUUUUAUCUUGUAUUUUAACUUGUUAUUUUAAUUGUUUUGGAAUUGUAUUGCUUUUAGCUUAUUUUAUGAGUGCCUUGGAUUCUAAUCCAUUCGGAAAGCAGCAUGUAAAUGGAAUAAAUAAAUAAAUACAUGGAAAUACUAUGCCUUGAAUUAUCCUACAUUAUAUGUCUACACACACACACACACACACUUCAUGAUCUUAUCUAGUUCCUUUUUAGCUGCCCUUACAGCUCUUGUCUUCUUCCAAUUUGUUGACUGACGUCUCCAUUUUUAUUAAUGAUUGAGCUAAAGUAUAGUCUUUUAAAAACAAUGUUUGUCACUGAAAUAGUUUACUAUUUUCUGUUAGUAAUAUGGUGUCUUUUGCAUAUCUUAAAUCUUUGAGGAUUCUUUUCCAGAUUUUCAUGUUUUCUUCUUUAGAGGUUAAUCCUACUUUGUGUAUGGUGUGCACCACUUUGCUUCCAUGAGAGAUUAUUGCAAAGUUUUGACAGAUGCAUCCAAAUCUUUGUGUUUUCUUUUUUUUGGGAAGUGAAAUUCAUAGUCUGUGGUCCAUUCUUUCAUUUUCCAUGUUUGUUGGCAAAUUUUUGUUGGAUGGAUCUGUCCCUGAAAUAGCUACAUUGGUAUGCUAUCUGUGGAUGAUGAUUUAUUUCCCCCAAGUACUUUGAGAGCAGCUGUCGCUUUACCUUCUAAAAAGUAAGAAAACAUAAAUUAAGUAAACAAAAUUCACAUUCCAUUUACCAUUCAAGGUAGCAAUCUAUGCACACAUACAGAAAGUAGAGUUGCUGAAUUCAUUGCUUGUUCAAGUUCAGGUGUACCAUAUUCUAAGAAGGACCAUCUAAUCUAAACUUCUGCAGAUGGCCAACUAAUAUUUAUUUCAAAAUCACCAGUGAAUCAUAUGUCAGAGUUUUGUAACUACUGUAUACAUCAUUUCUGAAGUGACAAUAAGUGAUUGUAAGAAUCAGGACCAUUCAAGCGGCAAGCAUUAAGGACUCAACCACCUGAUUAUUAUUGAAUAAUUUACAGCUAGGGUGAAGUAGCUAAAGAGUAAUAAAAGAAAUGCAAGCUUCUCUGUAGUUAGAGUGAAUGUUUUGGUGAGAGUGAGUGAGUGUUUUGGAGCAGAGUGAGAGAGAGCAAGAGCAAAGUGAAUGAGGAGUUGCAUGAGUUGGAGGUGUUGGUGCUGCUGCUGCUGCUACAAUGUUGAGCUUCUGAAGUUUGAGAUACAGAGAGUCUGUAGGAACACUAAAGAUCAGAGAGAAGAGCUAAACGAUGGUGAAGAUCAAAUGAAAUCAUCACCAACACCAUCAUCGCCAUCAUCUUUUACCUGCCUCUCCCUAUGCAUUGAGAUGCACAUUCCAGAUUCAAGUGAACUUCUUUUCCUCCUGUUGCCGCAUAAACUUUUGGUCUACUGAAUAUGUUUUUCCUACACUGUCAUUUCCUCCCUACAAUUUUCUUUGAGCAAGAGUCCUGGAUUCUGCCUC
Molecule: long non-coding RNA, 12238 nt
Organism: Anolis carolinensis (green anole)
Lineage: Eukaryota; Metazoa; Chordata; Lepidosauria; Squamata; Anolidae
Exons: 2
Source: RefSeq, a predicted model, not a curated record